AAAAUGGAAUUAAUCAAUUCCUCCGUCGUCCAGUGCGGCGGCGGCGGUAAAUCUCUUCCUCCGUCUCCCUGGCGCCGCCCUUGUCCUGCGCCGCGGCGUCUCUUCUUCGGCCUUCACCACCGUCCUUUCUUUGUUCCGUGUAAAUCUCCUCUUAGGGAGAAGGAAUAAGAUCGAUUUGCCUGUCGCCUGGUGGUUCGUCUUCUCGCACGCCUCCCAGAUGGAUGGCCAGGGUGCAUCUGCGCGUGGCGCUUCAGACGUCAAAACCUUUGCUUAUGGAUCUGCUCUAUUUCCGUCACAGGUUCGAUUGAUGAACCAAAUACUCGAAUCAAACAAUUUGGAAAGGGCGCGAAGGAGAGUUUCGUGAUUGGAAAGACAAUGCCAUAUCCUGGAGGACAUCGACAAGCUCAUAAAUCUACCAGGUUUACAUGCUUUUUUGAUCAUGUGAUUGAGCAAUCAAUGGGUGUUUGUAUCAAUAUUGUGCUUGUCUUGGUCAUGGAUGUUCUAACCAGGACAGUCUCUUGUUGUGCCAAAGGCCUGAGUGUUUGUACCAACUAGCUCAGACCGACCUUGAGCCCUUCAUUUCAUAAAUCCUAAAUCCUUUUUUCUCUUCAAAAUAUGAAAGAUCUGAUAGUUUUGGACAUACCUCGGUUCAAGUUAGAAUGAAAUGUGGUUGUGCACAGCUACUGACAUGAAUCAUGUGCAUCAAUGUAGAAACAACUAAUGUUGAAAUCAAUGCUAGCAGGAGCUUGUAUACCUUUCAUUUGCAAUAUAUGUUUGUCUCUUGGGAGAACUUGGUUAGGAUGACUAGCAUUCUAACAAGAUCUUCUGCUUAAGAAUGACUUUAUCAAGCUAUUGAUGAAAAUUGAUGGGUUGAAGGGGCGAGAUUAUCCUAGCGAGUGAAUGAAUGAAUACCCUGAUGUUUUUUUUAUCACUUCUCUUCAACCAACCCCUAUAACUCAAUGAAUGAAGUUCAGUGGUGUCCUUUUGACCAGUUAUCUUAAGAAAGGAGAAGCAAGAUACAUAUCGUAAGUGAAAGACAGAAUGAUCAUUUUGGUCCAGUAGGGCCAUUGGCAGUCAAUGAGCGGCAAUGAGCAUCCCAUAGAGUAAGAAAGUUUAUAUGAUGCUGAUGAUAAGUAAAAUCAAUGUACAAAGUUAUACACUCCCAUAAGAGAAAAUAUUGUUUGUCUUUAAUAAUGACAAUGGGAUUAGACGGAUCAAUCUUACUCCUAUAAUUUUUUCAGCAAGGUUGGCACAAAGAAAGUUAAGGUGGUCUCCAACCCCAACAAGUGUAUUAUAGGCACUUGUGAUUCCUACAUUAACAGUUCAUUUUGACCCAAACUAUCUCUCUCUCUCUUUCUUUUUUUUUUUCUUUUUUUUUUAUAAUAAGAUGCCUGCAUAUAGAUAGACAUUGUGACUAAUAUAGUGAUCCUCUUCCAUCCAGAGAUUUUUGUUGCCUGCUUUCAGUUUGUUCAUUAGACUUGACGUAUACAAAACAUUGCGUAACCUCAGGCAAUUUAGAUACAUCUAAUAUAUCUUGGGCCUGUAGUUGAUCAAGGAUUUACACCAGCCUUGAAGCCUUAUAAUUUUAUAUACAAUCUCCAAUCUAGAGUUGGCUUUGUCUUGUCUAGAUUUCACGGUGUUCUUCGUUGAAUGACUAACGAUAUGAUCUUAAAGCUAAAAUGUGAAAGAUGUUUUAGUUUUUUAUUUGAUUUUUUAUCCAGGGUUUUUUUACUAAAGAAUCUUGUCUCACAUUAAUAUCAGAGAUUGUGCAUUCCAUGAAGGGUUUACAAAUUAGUCUUUGCUUGCUCAAGGAUUUAUUACAUACCAGUCUUUGUGGGUCUCAUAUUAGAUGAUGUUUUAUAUAGCUGAAGAUAUUAAUCAAUCAGCAUCAUUUUGCGGGUUUAAUUGCGAGGUUUGUCACUUGAUACUCUUGCUUAUUCAACUGUAAUGCUUUCUACCACUAUGCAUGGAUGUUAUUUCCAUUUAAAGAUGAAACCAGUAAUUAUUGUUCAUGAUUCAACAGAAGGAAAUUUUGUGAGAAAUCAUACAAAUUAAUUUCAUCCUUAGUUUGCUCGAUUUUACGUAAUGGAAACCUACCUAUACAAUAUAUAAAAGAAAAAAAAAGGUCAUUUUCACUACGAAUGCAAAAAAAAAAGUCAUUUCCACUUCGAAUGCAAUGCUUUUUUCUUCAUAGUUGAUUGCAGAAUACUUGAACCAUAACUCUGUUAUUAUGUUUCAUUGCGUGUGACAAAGAUGCUACCAGUUUUUUUCCCCUAAACAUUCAAGACCGCAACUAUUUGGUCGAACCAUUUGAUAUGAAGGGAUCCCAUUCAUAUAUUCUUUCACAGAUUCAACAGCCUAUCAAAGAAACUAUUAAACAUCAUGUUUGAUACUCACUUUUGAUUCAGGUAACUAAACCCAAUAACUGCUUUAAGCAUUUCAUGGAUUUUUUCGAUUAUGAUAGUAGAUUGGUAGGUCUAAGACUGGUUUUGGGAUUGCUUCCUCUUAAACAAUUAAUCUUAAUAAAUAAAUCAUUAGUUUUUUUUUAAACAAAUUGUAUGUUGGCAAAAAUUUGUAAUGGAAAAGGAUACAUCAAAUAAGCGCAAACUUGGAUUUACUUCUCUCCAUAAUUAUAGGAACAAGCUGCAUGUGGUCCUUACUGUUAUACUUCACUCGUCAACCAAAGUGUCCCUCUCCAUUUCAAUGAGACAAAUUUUAGCAAAUUGAGUCCAUGGAGAUUGGAGAACAACAGUCUUAAGUUUGUUCCAGUUCCUCUUCUUAUUGUAACCUAGCAAGCAUUAUUAGAAUCUGCCAGGAAUGUGUCCAUGGACACAUCUUCUCAAUGGCUUCUCUUCUUGUCUCCAUCUCAGAAACCAGCAUGGGCAUAGUGUGAUGAUAAGUCCUUGGUGAAAUUCUUGUUAUGUAAUGUAUCUACAUAUCCAUGUGACCAUACAAAAAAAGAAAAAAUAUGAAUCAUUAGGUAGGAUUAGGACACCCCUAGUUUGGCCAAACUUGCAUAUUUCUCACAUUUACAUUCAUUUUUUGUCUUUUAAUUUACUCUUUGUGCUAUCAAUUUGUCGGUAUGAAUUGGCAGCUGAAGAUACUUUAUGAAGGGAAUAAGGAUGAGGGAGAUGAGGAACGCUGGAAGAUUCCCUGGCCCGAACCCAAGACGCACUUCGGAUCAAACCGAGCCUUGCAAUCGACGAACCGGUUCCAUUUUGGACCAAAAUGGCUGGCCCACUCUUCCUGAGUCUUGUAGUGGGGGAGGUACUGCUUGAUCUUGAUCUGAGCAUGGUGGCAAAACUCUAGUAUCUCUUGGUUCUGGCGUUUUAGGUAUGUUAAGCUCUGGGUCGGAUCGUCGGAGUCCGGCAGAGCCGAUCGGAGAAAGGCCACCAAGUAGAACACGUCUUCGUCCGGCGUCACCGCCGAGCUCCUCUCAUCCCACCUGCAAAUUUAAAGAGCUCGAUCAUACUAACACAAACCUAACCUUUUCAGGGCUAGACAAGUAAGAAGGUCCCAAUUAGAUAGAUGGAAGCUGACCAAUCACAACUCAUACUUUAUGUUUAUGAUAUUUUAAUGAAUUAGAAAAUUAACAUCAUCCAUUAAGAAGUAGCUAAUGAUUAAGUUAUCCGAAGAUUAUAAUUUCAAAUUA
Zingiber officinale is the source of this 3652-nucleotide long non-coding RNA. RefSeq lists it as uncharacterized. The record is from RefSeq and is a predicted model, not a curated record. NCBI's taxonomy places the organism in Eukaryota, Viridiplantae, Streptophyta, Magnoliopsida, Zingiberales, Zingiberaceae. The transcript has 2 exons.